RNAcentral lists this long non-coding RNA (344 nucleotides) under Mytilus galloprovincialis (Mediterranean mussel). The record is from RNAcentral. Lineage: Eukaryota; Metazoa; Mollusca; Bivalvia; Mytilida; Mytilidae.
AAAAAUCAGAAUGUGAAUAUAUAUGUUCAAACUCUUUUAGGUCAUUUUUUAGUAGCAAUAAACAAAAAAACUAUGUUAAUUGGACAUGCUUUGAUACUAUAUAUGCCCUUGAAUUUUACUAGAUAACAUUUUUGUUCGCUUUGGGGAUUCCGUAUAUCGUCAGAUUAUCGGAAUUCCAAUGGGGACUAACUGUGCACCACUUAUUGCAGACCUGUUUUUGUAUUGUUAUGAGUUACAAUUUAUGACAAAAAUAAGCAAAGACCCAUCGAAACAACAUCUGAUAAACAAAUUUAAUAAUACUUUUAGAUAUUUGGAUGAUAUUUUGGCUCUCAAUAAUGACGACU